GCCGGGUUAGCUCAGUGGUAGAGCAGCUGAUUUGUAAUCAGCAGGUCGUCGGUUCGACUCCGGCACCCGGCUCAA
This 75-nucleotide transfer RNA is filed under the name Acidobacteriota bacterium. Its description in RNAcentral is "Acidobacteria bacterium tRNA-Thr". It matches the Rfam family "tRNA". From Rfam's summary of the family: Transfer RNA (tRNA) molecules are approximately 80 nucleotides in length. Lineage: Bacteria; Pseudomonadati; Acidobacteriota. The record is from RNAcentral.